RNAcentral lists this long non-coding RNA (1366 nucleotides) under Strigops habroptila (Kakapo). Its description in RNAcentral is "lncRNA (ENSSHBG00005021084.1)". The record is from RNAcentral. Lineage: Eukaryota; Metazoa; Chordata; Aves; Psittaciformes; Psittacidae.
UUUACAUUUUUUUAUCUUUGCCUCUUUUUAUUGUCAUAUUCAAGAUACUGAUAACAGAUGUAAUUUACUGAAUACUUUUAGCACAUACAAGAGAGUAAACCCACCAUUUAAAUAGCUUCACUGUAUUUAAAAAAAAAAAAAAAAAAAAAAGGAAAAAAGAGGUGGUUACUCAUUUCAGUACAAACUCAACCCAUUUCAGAAGAGCUAGACCUCUAUACAGACAAAUCAGUAAAUGGCAAUCUCACUGAGAUCACCAAAAAAAAAAAAAAAAAUUAAAAAUCAAUAUAUGCUGAAAUUUCUAUUGUUAAAAAGGAGAUAACAAAAUAUCUAUGGCUUUUAGAGCAGAUGCUAAAUGCAUUACAUUCUCAGUCAUUACCCUGCCAAAAUCUAGGCAGAAGGAUAUCUUAACAUCUCAUUGAAAAUACGAAAUAAUUUGAGAAUAGCUAUGCUGAACUUCACAUUAGAUCUUCUGUGCAUGAAGGAAGAGUUAGAAAAUAAACACAGUGGCACCUUAAGACUUAAAAGAACAGAUUACAUUCUCUGAAUGUAGCCUUGCACUUUUCUUUUGGUUGCUACAUAAAGACAAAUGGCAGCACAAACUUGUUCAUUUUCACAUGCUAGAGUACUCAGCAGCCUGCUUUUACUACCUGAGUGCACUACUUCAGCUUUUCACUCUCUGUGUUUUGUUUCUCUCUAACCUUGACCUAUGUUAUGAACACACUAAAUAUCUAAAUAGUGCUGAGAAGAAAACACUAAGAUACUUUCCCUCUACAGCACCACAGUAUAUUUAAACACACUAUAUUGAAAUAAUUUAAGAUCUGUAUUUAUUCUGAAAACUGCUCUAGUAGGCUACAGAUUAAAAUAAUUUGAAAUUAUUUCAUGGCACUGUAUGCAAACAGCUUCUCUUUCUAUUUCUACUUUAUAUAUUAAAGUAAAACCUUGUUGUUCAGCUGAUCCCGCUUAAUUGUAAAACUCUCCCAAAACUGACUGCUGUAAAUGACAGAUUCCAGCAGUUUAACAGCUGCUAUAAUAUGAAAAGCUAUUUAUUAUUUGCAAUGUUCUUGUAACAGUCUUCUCAGAGUUUAGUAGCAGCUUUACAAUCUGCAGCUUCUUGCAGGUAGGUCUCAAAGCAGAAUUUCUGGGGAAGAAGACCAUUUACUGGAUAAAAACUUGGGAUAAAAGAAAAAACAAUUAAAAAACCCCAAAAACACAAUCAGAGAACAAGUAUUUCCAACACUUUCAACCUCACUCCUGAAGUUUAACUCAGUAUGAAUUAAUCAGACUCUCAGUUCAGCUUUCUGAAGUUUCUAACAGCCUCAGAUUGACCUCUGCAGCUCCUGUUACAGGCCAUUUCCACACUGCACUC